UCCCUGGAGGACUAGUGGUUAGGCAGCAGCGCUCUCACAGCUACAGCCUGGGUUCGAUUCCCAGCCAGGGAA
RNAcentral lists this transfer RNA (72 nucleotides) under Pangasianodon hypophthalmus (striped catfish). It matches the Rfam family "tRNA". Rfam says of the family: Transfer RNA (tRNA) molecules are approximately 80 nucleotides in length. Their secondary structure includes four short double-helical elements and three loops (D, anti-codon, and T loops). Lineage: Eukaryota; Metazoa; Chordata; Actinopteri; Siluriformes; Pangasiidae. The record is from Rfam by way of RNAcentral.